RNAcentral lists this ribosomal RNA (301 nucleotides) under uncultured bacterium. RNAcentral's name for it is "partial 16S ribosomal RNA". It matches the Rfam family "Bacterial small subunit ribosomal RNA", at positions 509 to 809 of the family's 1533-position model. The record is from RNAcentral.
CAGUAGCCGCGGUAAUACAGAGGGUGCGAGCGUUAAUCGGAUUUACUGGGCGUAAAGCGUGCGUAGGCGGCUUCUUAAGUCGGAUGUGAAAUCCCUGAGCUUAACUUAGGAAUUGCAUUCGAUACUGGGAAGCUAGAGUAUGGGAGAGGAUGGUAGAAUUCCAGGUGUAGCGGUGAAAUGCGUAGAGAUCUGGAGGAAUACCGAUGGCGAAGGCAGCCAUCUGGCCUAAUACUGACGCUGAGGUACGAAAGCAUGGGGAGCAAACAGGAUUAGAUCCCCGUAGUCCCUGUCUCUUAUACAC